Ceraceosorus guamensis is the source of this 108-nucleotide non-coding RNA. Lineage: Eukaryota; Fungi; Basidiomycota; Exobasidiomycetes; Ceraceosorales; Ceraceosoraceae. The record is from the annotation of a RefSeq genome assembly.
GCGCUUAUGGUGUAAGGGUAACAUGGUCGCUUCCCACGUUUUCGCGGCGGGAGUGCGCGUUCAUGUGACCUGUAGCGGCCGCCCCGGGUUCGAGUCCCGGUGAGCGCA